AAGUUGUGUUAUCUAAUGCUCGUAAUUUAGACACAAAUGAUAGAAAUGUUAGGUUUAUAUGCCAAAGAGGCCAUGUGAAAAUUUUAGUGCAAAUACGCAUGCGUGCGCGCCGUGCACAUAAAGCCACCCCACCCCCACGUGUCCGCGCGCCGGUCGGGGGGUGUUGGGCGUCAAUAAAGGUAAUCUGGUUGUCGCGCUUUCUGCAUCUCUGCGCGAGCUAAAGAAGUCUCAAAGAUGAAUGCAGCUGUUGUUGUUAUUACUGUGUGACGGAGGAGCGGUGCUGAAAAAUACGGCCUCCAUCGAGAGACUGAACGUAACACGACUGCAGGCUGACUCUGCCACGAGGCUCGACAACUUCUUGCAUCAACUGUGAUCGCUGUGGCCGCCAAAACAUCCAAAUGUAAGGCGGGCUACAAAGAUUUCAGGCCAAAAGAGAACGCCUCACAUGUGAUGAAGUGUCUGUAUUGGUUGGAAAAACCAGCAGCCUUCCAGUGCUUCAGCCGUCCAACCAUCAACCGUUUCAGACAUCCAUCCUCCCACCACUUCAGCCCCACAGCCGUCCACCAGUGUGCCAACUUCGGACAUUUUACUAUCCUGGGGGGGGUCAUGGCCUCUACGCUGGAUCCCAAAAAAGAGACAAAAAAACCCCGACCUCAACCCCCACUCUUAGUCAGACAUGUUUAUUUUUUUAUUUACAAUAAUAAAUAAUAUACUAUGUACAUUUA
Molecule: non-coding RNA, 725 nt
Organism: Oryzias latipes (Japanese medaka)
Lineage: Eukaryota; Metazoa; Chordata; Actinopteri; Beloniformes; Adrianichthyidae
Source: RefSeq, a predicted model, not a curated record